Molecule: unclassified non-coding RNA, 1028 nt
Filed under: Melitaea cinxia (Glanville fritillary)
Lineage: Eukaryota; Metazoa; Arthropoda; Insecta; Lepidoptera; Nymphalidae
Description: misc RNA ENSMCXG00005019589.1
Source: RNAcentral
CGUAGAGUACCAUAUAUAAUGUCUGUGAAAAUUUACAUAAAGCAUUAUAACGCGGGUGUAUAUAAAUUGACAUUAACAACACACAUUGAACAUUAACAUAAAGCGUUAACGCUUGUGUAUAUAACUAUAUAUUGAGAGUCGCCACUCCACCCUGUAUCGUUUGCUUACCGCUAUCAGAGCUUCAAGCCAAAUUAUACACAAAAUGUCUCGCACAAGCUUAAUACUUUUGCUCGUUUGUUUGGUGUGUGUCGCCGAGAUUACAAAUGCGUACUUCAUUAAAGAACGAAGUGAAAGUGCACUCCACAAAUCAUGUGCUACCGAAGGACAAAAGUGCCAGAAAAAUGACGAUUGCUGCAGUAAAUUUUGUUUUACGGCCAUUAACCAAUGCAUGUAUAUAUAAUCUUGUUUGAAAUUAAUCUAAUAUUAUAUUAUUUAAUUAUUUUUCGGUACGGAAAGGGUUAAUAUUAGAUGAAUCUGGGACUUUGGUGUUUUUUUUUUUAAUUUUGGGUUUGGGGAUUUUUCUUUAAAUUAUUGUACCUAUAUAUAAUAAUGUUAUGUAAAUAAUGUAUUAACUAUACAAUAAAAUGCAAUGAAAUGUUCGCUUGUGUAUUUACUGAAAACCAAGUUAAUCAUGUCAUCAAUCAUCAGCUUCCUAAGUCUUGGUGGAAUUUCAAAGAAGAAAAUGUGCAAUUCUAAGAUGAUCAGAAUUAAAGUGACAUGUACCCAACUUCCUUGAGUACGUUUUAAAACUUCAUUUGUAAUUACAACUUUUUUGAGUCUUAAAUCAGAACGUAAGUCGUUGUUGGUUGAUAGUUGAAAAAUAUCGGUGCCGUCUAAGUACAUAAAAGAAAUACUGAAGGUAAAAGGAUUCUCAUUCCUAAUGAACUUUAUUUGGAAUUAAAGAUUCCAGUAACUUAUUGCUAUAGACCAGUUCUUUUAGCUGUUGAAACCAAAAAAAAAUUUAGUAGGAUGAAACCUACUGUAAAAGAAAGAAAAGACAAAGAAAAUGGAAGGAAAAAUAAGUUACG